Long non-coding RNA from Girardinichthys multiradiatus, 493 nucleotides. RefSeq lists it as uncharacterized. Lineage: Eukaryota; Metazoa; Chordata; Actinopteri; Cyprinodontiformes; Goodeidae. The record is from RefSeq and is a predicted model, not a curated record. The transcript is spliced from 3 exons.
UCUCCUUCUUGCGCGCAGGUUGAUGAAUGCAGGUGUUGGCUUGUAUUCAUUGUUCCUCGUUCCUCUUGUUGCUAGAAGCCUCGUGAUCAAUUGUGGUCGGAGCUGCAGAUGGCUCUGCCCUCCAGAGGCUGCGCAAGCUGCUUUUUCCUCCAGGUUUUCUGAUCAAAAGGCGAUAAUUCCCCAAAUGACUCACCAAAUUAAUCUCUUUGGACUUGGAUGAAGGUGUGCUGCUGGAGGAGGCGAUGGAGGAAGGACUCAGGGGGACAUCUUUCUUUAACAGGCGACUUUUGUCCAAUCCGUUCUCCCGAGGAGAGUGGGCGGGACUUCCUCGAGGAGAAGUAGGAUCCUAAGCCAGCCCAGCAUGGAAGGUCAGGCAACACACUGUCGUCAGAGCUUUAUAAAAGAGUAUCCCAGCACUGACGAAAAGAAAUGGACUGCAGCUGUAAAGCUUGUUUGCACGCAAAAAUAAAAAUAAUACAGAAAACAACAAAAA